UUACCCCCCCACUAAUUAACCCCCCCCAGGCCAUCUGGCUGCUCUGCACCGGUGCCCGUGAGGCCGCCUUCAGGAACAUCAAAACCAUCGCCGAGUGUUUGGCGGAUGAACUCAUCAACGCCGCCAAGGGCUCCUCCAACUCCUACGCCAUUAAGAAGAAGGACGAACUGGAGCGCGUUGCCAAAUCCAACCGCUAGGGGGCGCUGCGGGGCCGCGCCGCUCCGGGACCCCAUUGAGCGGGGGGGGAUUUGUGGGAUCCCCAUUAAAACGGGGGGGUUGUGGGGCCGCCCCCCAACUCGCGCCCCGCACGGGGGCUGUGUCACCGCCCCCCCCCAAAAAAAAAA
Non-coding RNA from Phasianus colchicus (ring-necked pheasant), 344 nucleotides. The record is from RefSeq and is a predicted model, not a curated record. Lineage: Eukaryota; Metazoa; Chordata; Aves; Galliformes; Phasianidae.